GUAGCAUACGGGAGUGGCAGACGGGUGAGUAACGCGUGGGAACGUACCCUUUGGUUCGGAACAACUCCGGGAAACUGGAGCUAAUACCGGAUGAGCCCUACGGGGGAAAGAUUUAUCGCCGAAGGAUCGGCCCGCGUCGGAUUAGCUAGUUGGUGAGGUAACGGCUCACCAAGGCAACGAUCCGUAGCUGGUCUGAGAGGAUGAUCAGCCACACUGGGACUGAGACACGGCCCAGACUCCUACGGGAGGCAGCAGUGGGGAAUAUUGGACAAUGGGCGCAAGCCUGAUCCAGCCAUGCCGCGUGAGUGAUGAAGGCCUUAGGGUUGUAAAGCUCUUUCGCCAGGGACGAUAAUGACGGUAACUGGAUAAGAAGCCCCGGCUAACUUCGUGCCAGCAGCCGCGGUAAUACGAAGGGGGCUAGCGUUGUUCGGAAUCACUGGGCGUAAAGCGCAUGCAGGCGGAUCGAUAAGUCGGGGGUGAAAGCCCGAGGCUCAACCUCGGAACUGCCUUCGAUACUGUCGAUCUUGAGUCCGGGAGAGGUGAGUGGAACUCCGAGUGUAGAGGUGAAAUUCGUAGAUAUUCGGAAGAACACCAGUG
RNAcentral lists this ribosomal RNA (597 nucleotides) under uncultured bacterium. Its description in RNAcentral is "bacterial SSU rRNA". It matches the Rfam family "Bacterial small subunit ribosomal RNA", at positions 82 to 714 of the family's 1533-position model. The record is from RNAcentral.